UACGUAGGGUGCGAGCGUUGUCCGGAAUUAUUGGGCGUAAAGAGCUCGUAGGCGGUGUGUCGCGUCGGCCGUGAAAACCUGCAGCUUAACUGUGGGCUUGCGGUCGAUACGGGCAUCACUGGAGUUCGGCAGGGGAGACUGGAAUUCCUGGUGUAGCGGUGAAAUGCGCAGAUAUCAGGAGGAACACCGGUGGCGAAGGCGGGUCUCUGGGCCGACACUGACGCUGAGGAGCGAAAGCGUGGGGAGCGAACAGG
RNAcentral lists this ribosomal RNA (254 nucleotides) under uncultured bacterium. RNAcentral describes it as "partial 16S ribosomal RNA". It matches the Rfam family "Bacterial small subunit ribosomal RNA", at positions 524 to 776 of the family's 1533-position model. The record is from RNAcentral.